UGGGUUAGUGGCGGACGGGUGAGUAACGCGUGGGUAACCUGCCUUACACAGGGGGAUAACACUUAGAAAUAGGUGCUAAAACCGCAUAAGCGCACAGCUUCGCAUCGAAGCGGUGUGAAAAACUCCGGUGGUGUAAGAUGGACCCGCGUCUGAUUAGCUUGUUGGCGGGGUAACGGCCCACCAAGGCGACGAUCAGUAGCCGGCCUGAGAGGGCGGACGGCCACAUUGGGACUGAGACACGGCCCAGACUCCUACGGAAGGCAGCAG
This 267-nucleotide ribosomal RNA is filed under the name uncultured bacterium. RNAcentral's name for it is "partial 16S ribosomal RNA". It matches the Rfam family "Bacterial small subunit ribosomal RNA", at positions 88 to 354 of the family's 1533-position model. The record is from RNAcentral.